This 555-nucleotide unclassified non-coding RNA is filed under the name Hevea brasiliensis (rubber tree). The record is from RNAcentral. Lineage: Eukaryota; Viridiplantae; Streptophyta; Magnoliopsida; Malpighiales; Euphorbiaceae.
GGCUUCACUGGCUGCCAACAAAAAUUACCCAAGGAAGGAAAUUCGUUAAACUUAGUACAUAUAAUAUAUAAAUCAAAUCAAAUGGAGCGACCACAUAUAUACAUUAUAACUCAGGGGAGGGGGAAAAAGAAAAGAAAAACAAGAGACCAAAAAAGGGUGAAGACUAAAGAGUAGUUUAGGGUGAAGACUAAAGAGUAGUUUUUUUACCCAAGCUAAAAAACUUUUCUUUCUUCUGGUUUCCAAAGAGAAAGAAUUCAAACGUGCUUCUAUUACGAAUUCUUUUUUACUUUGGAAUCCAUUCCCCCUCCCCCGCCAUAUACAUAGAGUAAUAUUUGAAAAAGCAGCUCUUAAAAAUAAAAGCAAACGAAUUCAUUCUCUCGCCUAACAUUUUGUUACAACCAAAAUGCAAAUCCGCAAACAAGAAUUAGACCCACAAAAGAUUUUAAGUUCGAAACUGUCAAUUCAUCAUCAAAAUGAUUUAUCAUUCAGAGACAAACUAUAUUAAUCCAUGAAAAUUCCAAAAAAUUAAGAAUAAAUGCUUGAAGCAGGGAGAGG